Molecule: ribosomal RNA, 320 nt
Filed under: uncultured Prevotella sp.
Lineage: Bacteria; Pseudomonadati; Bacteroidota; Bacteroidia; Bacteroidales; Prevotellaceae
Description: bacterial SSU rRNA
Rfam family: Bacterial small subunit ribosomal RNA
Source: RNAcentral
GAUGAACGCUAGCUACAGGCUUAACACAUGCAAGUCGAGGGGCAUCGGGAGAGUAGCUUGCUAUUCUUGCCGGCGACCGGCGCACGGGUGAGUAUCGCGUAUCCAACCUGCCCAUAAGUAGGGAAUAGCCUUGCGAAAGUAAGAUUAAUGCCCUAUGGUUUCCAUUAAAGACAUCUGAGAUGGAAUAAAGAUUUAUCGCUUAUGGAUGGGGAUGCGUCUGAUUAGGUAGUAGGCGGGGUAACGGCCCACCUAGCCGACGAUCAGUAGGGGUUCUGAGAGGAAGGUCCCCCACAUUGGAACUGAGACACGGUCCAAACUCC